UAUUAUAGUCUUCAAGGCUCAGUAAGAGCCUCUCUCAGGAUGGUGUU
RNAcentral lists this transfer RNA (47 nucleotides) under Fredericella sultana. Its description in RNAcentral is "tRNA-Tyr". The record is from RNAcentral. Lineage: Eukaryota; Metazoa; Bryozoa; Phylactolaemata; Fredericellidae.